This is a small nuclear RNA of Lupinus angustifolius (narrow-leaved blue lupine), 116 nucleotides long. The record is from Rfam. Lineage: Eukaryota; Viridiplantae; Streptophyta; Magnoliopsida; Fabales; Fabaceae.
GUGUUCGUGAAAAGAAGAGAUGGUUGGCAUCUCCCCUGACAGAGACGGGAACAGCCUUCGGGCUUUCCUGUUACACACUUGUUGCUAUUGCUGAGUGUAAUUUAAGAUCUUUUUAU